AAUUACUCUGGUAUUAUUUAUGGGGUCUAUAGCUAUGUAGGUACUUCCUCAACAGUGAGAUGAGGGUAGGGACAGCUAUAAGACAAGAUUGUAUGGCAUUUUCAGUACUGAGGAGAGGGUUGAGGGCAAAAGGAGGUUAAAUUAAAAACCUUUGCUAUGUGCAACCAUAUAUUUCCCUGUCAUGCAUUAUUAUCUUCUCGUCUCAAGUCAGAGUUGCAUAUCUGAACAGAGCAUACAAUGGUAAAGGAUAAGAACAGCUUCAUGUUGGUGGAUCAGUCGGAGUGACUUGUUUACAGUGACUGGCGUGUAUCAACGUGGCUUUUCCUUCUAGUUUCACUGAAGUAGCCGUAGUCAGGAGCACUUGGAAUGCACAGUCAAAGCGUGCUUCAAGACCUUUCCUCACAUGCCUUUAUCACCACCCAAUCCUCAGGCUGCAGUUUGUGAGUUGCAGAAUCAGAGUCUGGAUCUGGAACAGAAUCAAAGACUUGUUUAUGCACCCUGCCUAAUUUUUGGUGUAGGGCCUGUACACCAUGCUGCAUCUGAAGGGUCUAGGGAAAAUAGAGGCCUGUCUUUGGGGCACAUCCAAACAGGAUCUCCAAAGGGCCAUGUCU
Molecule: non-coding RNA, 611 nt
Organism: Pelobates cultripes (western spadefoot toad)
Lineage: Eukaryota; Metazoa; Chordata; Amphibia; Anura; Pelobatidae
Source: the annotation of a GenBank genome assembly